GGCAGAUAUUUGCAGCAUGUUCGAGUGAGCAUGAUGACCACGAGUGUGUGUCGAACUUUUCAUGACCUGAUGACUGUGUUUCCCAAUCCUGAUCCUGGAGAACCCCAGCACUGCACGGUUUUGGCGUCUCUCUUAUCUGCCUUGGAGUCUUCACUGAUGAGCUGAUGAGUUGAAUCAGGAUUGUUUGAGGAUAACGCUGCAGUUCUCCAUCAUGCACAAGGACUCACCUCGUUAACUCUUUAUCCCCCACACACACAGAUAUGGUCCCUGGAUCAGUGAUUAGACUUUGCAGUGGUUUGAUUUUUGCAGAAGAUGUAACUUUGUUUUAUUUAUAAGCUCAUAAUGAAUACAUUACAGAACCAGUGAUGAAAACAAUAGUUAAAAAUAGUAUGUUUCGUAUUGAUAAAGCAUUUUGUUCUCUUUUUCAAGCUUCAUACAGUGAACUUUUUAGACUUUAAUUAAGAGUUUUAGUAAAGGAGAUAUUCAUACACAGUCAUCCCCUAGCUCCAGUCAUGAAGUGAAUUCAUGAUGUUAUGUCAAAGCUAGCAGGUGUUUGUUUUCCUGAACACUUUCUCUGUCUUCCAUUGUUCAGACAAUCAGUGUUUAUUUGAUGCUGUGCUGAUUGAGUUUUAUAGAUGAUAUUGCACACUUGACAUGCAUGUCUUCAUGGUGUUUUUUUUUGUGAGUUUGAAACAUUUACAUUGUGUUGUAUAACAUUUUGGUCAAUUUAAUUUUUUUAAUAAAAUUGAUCUUUUUCCAGUGUUCUCUGAAAGACAUACUGUAUUUACUGUUUUGUUUUUUAAUAAAAGCAUUUUCAUUUGCAUACUGAAAAUAGUUAAUGUUUACAACAUAACUGCCUUUUUAUUUUUUAUGGUGGCAAAAACGAGCUUGGUGACAGAGGAUGCAGUGUAGUAAUUUGGGCAUGUUGUCUUUAAAUGAGUUUGACAUAUCAAUAAAUAAUGGAAGAUCCUUACAAAAAUAUGCAUGUUUAUUAUGCUUUAUGUAUUUAUUUGUUCAUUCAUUCAUUCAUUCAUUUAUAAUUUCUGUUUUUAUUCCUAGGGUUCAAAUGGUAGAGAAUGGUAAAUCACAGAAACACAAAUGUGAACAAUUUUAA
Molecule: long non-coding RNA, 1114 nt
Organism: Carassius gibelio (silver crucian carp)
Lineage: Eukaryota; Metazoa; Chordata; Actinopteri; Cypriniformes; Cyprinidae
Exons: 3
Source: RefSeq, a predicted model, not a curated record